GACGAACGCUGGCGGCGUGCUUAACACAUGCCAGUCGAACGGAAAGGCCCUGCUUUUGUGGGGUGCUCGAGUGGCGAACGGGUGAGUAACACGUGAGUAACCUGCCCUUGACUUUGGGAUAACUUCAGGAAACUGGGGCUAAUACCGGAUAGGAGCUCCUGCUGCAUGGUGGGGGUUGGAAAGUUUCGGCGGUUGGGGAUGGACUCGCGGCUUAUCAGCUUGUUGGUGGGGUAGUGGCUUACCAAGGCUUUGACGGGUAGCCGGCCUGAGAGGGUGACCGGCCACAUUGGGACUGAGAUACGGCGCAGACGCCUACGGGAGGCAGCAGUGAGGAAUAUUGCACAAUGGGCGGAAGCCUGAUGCAGCAACGCCGCGUGCGGGAUGACGGCCUUCGGGUUGUAAACCGCUUUCGCCUGUGACGAAGCGUGAGUGACGGUAAUGGGUAAAGAAGCACCGGCUAACUACGUG
This 468-nucleotide ribosomal RNA is filed under the name uncultured bacterium. Its description in RNAcentral is "partial 16S ribosomal RNA". It matches the Rfam family "Bacterial small subunit ribosomal RNA", at positions 28 to 507 of the family's 1533-position model. The record is from RNAcentral.